RNAcentral lists this ribosomal RNA (460 nucleotides) under uncultured bacterium. Its description in RNAcentral is "partial 16S ribosomal RNA". It matches the Rfam family "Bacterial small subunit ribosomal RNA", at positions 338 to 795 of the family's 1533-position model. The record is from RNAcentral.
CCUACGGGUGGCAGCAGUGAGGAAUAUUGGUCAAUGGGCGGGAGCCUGAACCAGCCAAGUCGCGUGAGGGAAGACGGUCCUAUGGAUUGUAAACCUCUUUAGGCGGGGAGCAAUGCCGGGCACGUGUGCCCGGAGGGAGAGUACCCGCAUAAUAAGCAUCGGCUAACUCCGUGCCAGCAGCCGCGGUAAUACGGGGGAUGCGAGCGUUAUCCGGAUUGAUUGGGUUAAAGGGGUGCGUGGGCGGAUUUUUAAGUCAGCGGUAAAUUGUCCGGGCUCAACCCGGGCCGGCCGUUGAAACUGGGGAUCUUGAGUGGGCGAGAAGUAUGCGGAAUGCGAGGUGUAGCGGUGAUAUGCAUAGAUAUCACGCAGAACUCCGAUUGCGAAGGCAGCAUACCGGCGCCCGACUGACGCUGAGGCACGAAAGCGUGGGGAUCGAACAGGAUUAGAUACCCGUGUAGUC